RNAcentral lists this ribosomal RNA (468 nucleotides) under uncultured bacterium. RNAcentral describes it as "partial 16S ribosomal RNA". It matches the Rfam family "Bacterial small subunit ribosomal RNA", at positions 28 to 507 of the family's 1533-position model. The record is from RNAcentral.
GACGAACGCUGGCGGCGUGCUUAACACAUGCAAGUCGAACGGAAAGGCCCUGCUUUUGCGGGGUGCUCGAGUGGCGAACGGGUGAGUAACACGUGAGUAACCUGCCCUUGACUUUGGGAUAACUUCAGGAAACUGGGGCUAAUACCGGAUAGGAGCUCCUGCUGCAUGGUGGGGGUUGGAAAGUUUCGGCGGUUGGGGAUGGACUCGCGGCUUAUCAGCUUGUUGGUGGGGUAGUGGCUUACCAAGGCUUUGACGGGUAGCCGGCCUGAGAGGGUGACCGGCCACAUUGGGACUGAGAUACGGCCCAGACUUCUACGGGAGGCAGCAGUGGGGAAUAUUGCACAAUGGGCGGAAGCCUGAUGCAGCAACGCCGCGUGCGGGAUGACGGCCUUCGGGUUGUAAACCGCUUUCGCCUGUGACGAAGCGUGAGUGACGGUAAUGGGUAAAGAAGCACCGGCUAACUACGUG